UAUAGAGCCAGGAAUUGAAUCAAGAUUGUCCUCGCUGAACUUGAUGCCUCGCCCACAACACCCUGUAGACUUCCCGUGGCCACCUGCGUUGCUGACCUGAAAACCAAGUAACCUGUGUUCCUCAAUUCUCACCAGCACCAGGCUUCCAACUAAAAAUUUCAAGGCAUGCAGAGAAGCAAAAUGAACAAUGACAACAAAAACACAGUCAAAUGGGACAAAGCAAGCCUCAGAACCAGACUCAGAUAUAGCAGAGAUUUUGAAAUUAAAAUAACUCUUAGUUAAUAUACUAAGAGCUCUAAUGGGAAAAAAAAAUGAAUAACCUACAAGAACAGAUGGGUAAGAUCUUUUCUAGGAGCUUCACCAGAGUCUUCUGCUUAUAUUUCUUUGCCCAAGUGGUGUUGUGGGUAUACCUCUUGCUGUAUGGAUAAAGAAGAGAUGAGUUGGAGAUUGGAUCAGCCAACCAACAGCACCUGCUUCAUCUUACUUGGCUGAAAUUCUUUGUUUCUUUACUUUCACAUGGCUGCCUAAUGUUUUCUGAGACUCUUCAGAAGCAUCCAGC
Saimiri boliviensis boliviensis (Bolivian squirrel monkey) is the source of this 559-nucleotide non-coding RNA. The record is from RefSeq and is a predicted model, not a curated record. Lineage: Eukaryota; Metazoa; Chordata; Mammalia; Primates; Cebidae.